CAGUAGCCGCGGUAAUACAGAGGGUGCGAGCGUUAAUCGGAUUUACUGGGCGUAAAGCGUGCGUAGGCGGCUUCUUAAGUCGGAUGUGAAAUCCCUGAGCUUAACUUAGGAAUUGCAUUCGAUACUGGGAAGCUAGAGUAUGGGAGAGGAUGGUAGAAUUCCAGGUGUAGCGGUGAAAUGCGUAGAGAUCUGGAGGAAUACCGAUGGCGAAGGCAGCCAUCUGGCCUAAUACUGACGCUGAGGUACGAAAGCAUGGGGAGCAAACAGGAUUAGAUACCCGUGUAGUCCCUGUCUCUUAUAC
This 301-nucleotide ribosomal RNA is filed under the name uncultured bacterium. RNAcentral describes it as "partial 16S ribosomal RNA". It matches the Rfam family "Bacterial small subunit ribosomal RNA", at positions 509 to 807 of the family's 1533-position model. The record is from RNAcentral.